Protopterus annectens (West African lungfish) is the source of this 104-nucleotide small nuclear RNA. The record is from RefSeq and is a predicted model, not a curated record. Lineage: Eukaryota; Metazoa; Chordata; Ceratodontiformes; Protopteridae.
GUGCUUUCUUUGGUAGCACAUAUAUUAAAAUGCGAAUGAUAGAGAAUAUUAGCAUGACUUAGAGCAAGGAUGACAUGCAAAUUCAAGAAGCAUUCCAUUUUUUG